CUCGUAGGCGGUUCGUCGCGUCCGGUGUGAAAGUCCAUCGCUUAACGGUGGAUCCGCGCCAGGUACGGGCGGGCUUGAGUGCGGUAGGGGAGACUGGAAUUCCCGGUGUAACGGUGGAAUGUGUAGAUAUCGGGAAGAACACCAAUGGCGAAGGCAGGUCUCUGGGCCGUUACUGACGCUGAGGAGCGAAAGCGUGGGGAGCGAACA
Molecule: ribosomal RNA, 207 nt
Filed under: uncultured bacterium
Lineage: Bacteria
Description: partial 16S ribosomal RNA
Rfam family: Bacterial small subunit ribosomal RNA
Source: RNAcentral